Molecule: long non-coding RNA, 5518 nt
Organism: Lagopus leucura (white-tailed ptarmigan)
Lineage: Eukaryota; Metazoa; Chordata; Aves; Galliformes; Phasianidae
Exons: 3
Source: RefSeq, a predicted model, not a curated record
UUAUUUCUGCAUCUAUGGCUGCUGUUUUUGGGCCUGUCCUCCAUUGCUGCACCCAAAGGUUUUGCGAUACUGCUAUUAUUGUUGUGUUUUCCAUAGUGUUAUAGAUUUACAGGUGUCCUCUGUCAUCCUGCAGCAACAGCUUUGACUAUGGAAUUAGCAUUCCUUGACUGUGCCCCAUUGAGUGUGAUGUGUGUUUCCAUGAGGAUGCAGCUAGGGCUUGAGUUAAAGCAUAGCAGAGUUGAAGCUUUGGGGAAUCUGGCAUGUGAAAUGUUCCUGGGUUUCUUUGACAAUGAAAAUAAUGAAUCUCUUUGCCAUAUUCCCCAGGUGUUUUCCUAGAUGUCUACUAGUUAGCCCCUUGCUUCCUGCCUGCAAUUAGCACUUACAUUGUUGCAAAGGGAGAUGAAAUUCACUCUCUGCCAUUCUCCUUCAGGAAUCUCUCACACCUUUCCUACUGGGUAGGAAUAUGAGCUGUGGGUAAGGGGAGAUUCUAGUAGUAGAAUUAGAUUUGCAAGCAAUCCUAUCCCCCUGUGUCUCUUCUACUAGAUGUUGGUCCUCAUCAUGGUGUGUGAGCAUGGAAGCCCACAAACAGGAUUUCUUUCAGCAAAGACCCAAAUUUUCACGACUUCGUUCUGCCCCUGGAAUUAUAGAGGCACAAACUGGUCCACGUGCAUUUCACACAGGGUAACUGCAGCUGGAUAAGUGCCUGCUAUUUUGGUGAAGGAGAAGGGUGAGCGUAAAGCUGGGAGUACAUGACCACUGACCUUAAUUAGAGAAGAUAAAAAUGUUGAAACAUGAUUCCUAUGAAAACCAAGGAAGGUCUUUAUUGCCGAGUGUUUCCACAUGGAUGCCACUGAGAAGAGGUCAAGCGUUUCUAUAUACUUUAAGUAAACAGCAGAUUGAGUUCAUAGUCUGGACUGGAUUUGAGCAGUCUCUGUAUUCUGCAACAUCAUAAUUGAGUCUUAUGUACUUAAGAUUUGAUUGAUAUCCACCAACAUUAUUACCUGAGAUCUGCCAGGAAACACAGAGGCUAUUAAGAGCUUGCUAGUGAAGCUAUGCCUAGUGUCAUAUAUGGCUAACCCCAGGCUGGGACUGGGCCUUGGGCUCUGACUUUAGCAGAGGAAGAACGAUGGUUUCUCUUAGGAGUUGCUGUUGUUGGUUUUUGUCUGAUAAUACAUAUCUUCAAAUCUUUCCUGUCAUGUAAAAAAUGCCCAUAAUCUGCAAAAUUAAACUUGUUGAAUGAGAAAUGAGUUGCAUGUCAGGAACAGAAUGCUUCAAAUAAGGCAGUUUAUUUACGUGCCACUAAUGAAGCAUAUCAUGCCAUGUUAAGAUAUCAGGCGAAAAAUUCUUGUGUUCUUUCUUGCAGUUAUGCAGGCUGAAGGUUAAGACAACUGAAUGCAGUGGCUUUGUAUCAAAACCAACUCAGUCUCCCUACCUGGAAAUGGGAUGACAAUUGAAUCACAAAUUGCAGUCUUAUAUCUGCAGAUUUAGCUCUAGUAUCACUGCCACCUAUUCUUAUGUUAUCAGAGUUAAGUUGUGGUUCCUGUCCAAGCCAGAAGAAGAGCUAUGUUUGGUGGCCCUGCAUCUCACGUAGCCUCUGUGCAGCUGCUGGCCUGCUGUCCAGGACAAGGAACUGCCACGUGGUACGUUCCUAAUGACAGAUUUGGGAAACAGCGACAGCUGAACACCUGCAUUCUUCUCAGCCUUUGCACCUUACUGCCUCAGUUUCACUACUGAUAAUUAAAGCACAUUUAUAUCAAGAACUGUUUUUCCAACUAGGAAAAUUAUCUCAGCAUUUGAUAUUGAUUUUCUUUUACUGAAAGGUAGCUGUGAUCUUCACAUUUCGCAUUCCACAGCAGAGAAAGUGCUGGUGGGAGAUACUGGCCUGUAACACCUACCGCUGGCCCUCCAUCUGUGGGGCUGCUGGCAUUGCUAGUUCAAAUUGUUAGUUCAUCUGGUGGAAAAAUACUUAACUUGGGGUAUAUGGGGCUUCAGAGGCAGAAGGGCACACCCUAAGGAAGUGCCCUGCUGGUCAUUUAAUCCCUGCUUUGUUCACUAUGUGGUGCGUGUUGGCUGGCUCAGGAGGUGUGCCCUGCUCCUCCAGUGCUGUGAUGUGACCAGCAACCCCCAGAGAUCGGUGGCUCUGCAGCUGCAUGUCCUGCCUUCUGAACUCUGAGUCCUGGGAGGGGACUGGAAGAGCUGAAUGGUUUUAUCUGCACCAGCCACCCCUAACUAUCUUAAAGCCCCAAACCACGAGGGGCAGUUGGUUACACAGCACGGUAGGGUGCAAGCUAUUAGCCCCAAGUGUUUCCAGAUUCCAUUUGGUGCACAGCACAAGCCCUUUCCCACACGAUAUCUGAACUAAACCUCAUCAGCAGUGCCCAGGUUCAGAUCCUGACCCAGCCUGCACUGCAGCCCCUCUGCUGAACUAACCCGAGAUGAAAGGCGUCAAAUGACAGGAUACAGAGUGCUGAGAGCUGGCAGCGGAGGUUUCUUCUGCAGACAUCUUGCUGGUUGUUUUAAGGUCUUCUGCCUCUAAGUGGCACCAUGCUGAGUGAUUGAACACUUGCUAGAAUCUGUUCUACCUUUUAUUGCAAUGAUUUAUUACAGAGCUCCCAGUUUCCAAACUCUGAACUUUCACAAACGCUGCCUGGAUGUCAGAGCCCUUUUGUCAGAAACACCAGAGCCUUCUGGAGUGAUGGUCCUGGUACUACAAAACCCCUUUGGAAAGCCACAGCUCUUGAACCAGCAUGGGGAAAGACUGAACUUUCAUUUUUAGAGAAGGCUUUCACAUCCCCAGGAUCUGCAUCUGAGAGGUACUCAAAAUACAGCCAAGAGAAGCUUUCUUUACUGUAAAUUUCCAGAGGAUUACACUGAAUCACAGUCUUGCAUAGUCCAGUUUACAGAUUUGUAUGUACUUAAUAUAAUUAGGCUCAGAUUGUCUUUAUGCAGCUUCUGCUCAGAGAGCAGGAACUAAUUUGGAAGGGGGACAGAGGGUGUCCCAGAAUGGAUGGGUCCAGUCUACAUCCACUACGAGACAGACAGACACACACUUGUUCUGAACAUCCUGAAACUGCUUAAGCGAAGCGCACUCCCCAGACUAGCUAUGCAGUACUGGCAAUGUUGUGCUGCUUAGAACAGAAGGAUUUGAUUUCUCUGUGCCACAGAGGGCUCACAACACAAUAGCAUUCAGAUAUUCAAGCACCUAUUAUGAAAUCUGACUUUGCUUUAGUACUUAGAAGUCCUCGCAUAUUUUGUGGCAUUUAGGGCUGCCUUACUCUGCCUGAAAAUACAGUGAGGUUUUCCUGUCCCUACAUAAUGAAACAAAAUCCACACCCCAAACUCCUACAGCUCAAAACAACCAACCAGUGCAGCUCAGGAAAACUAUGGAUACUUUCGGAGAGCUAAAGAAAUGUACAUCAUGAGAAAAGUUUUCCUGUAUUUGAGAGAAGGUUGUCAGGAUGGUAAUAUAGUACAGUGUGUAGUGAGGACUGGGAGAUUUAUGUGCCGAUUCUGUGUAUGAUUUAUUUUGAUGAAUUGUUUUUUAUCAAUAUGUAAAAAUCCAAUAAAUAUAACUCCCUUUACAAAGGGUUGCUCCAGUCCCAGUGUUUCAGUGGACAGUUUUGGCAGAAAGUCAGGAUGUGCAUUAAAAACACACUUUUUGAGAAGUCUAAUAAAUAAAAGCUCUGAAAUAUGGUUUCCUACUGAGAAAGGCAUUUUAAAUCAUUUUGAUAAAGAACCUAAAUUAGGCCUUAAAAGGAGGGGGAAGCUAGGUCCCUGCAACUAAUUAUUUAUAGGUAUUUUGAAUAUAAAAGUCCAGGAAAGCCUGCCUCCAUCCCCCAUUCUCUGCCACAAUAAAGGGGAAAGAAAAAGCCAUUCCCCUUCCACCUCCCACCCAAAUUAUAAGGCAGAAGUGUUAGAAAGGGGCCAAAGGAAACAAAAUUAAAAUAAGGAACAGAGAACUGACAAAAACAAGGAACUUCAGAAGUCCUGGAAAAAAAAAACAACCUGCACACUUUCUCCCCAAAGCAGAGAUACCAGGAGGGGACAGGUCUUCACUUCUCCUCCUCAUUACUCAAGAGCAGUGGGCUGCUACUCACCCCAGUCCUCUGAAGAGGGAAUAUACUGAUAUUUGCUAAGCACCACAGGGAAUGUUUUUAGAAGUGAAUAAACAUUUGAAUAGCCCCAUUCUCUCUGAAAGUCAAAGCAAUUUAGAGAUGGCAUAGAAGUCAAAACUGCUGGGGAUGUCGGCUUCUGAAUCACUUAAGUGCUUCUGGAUAUGUUAAUCCAAAAACGUUUGGCAUGUGUACAGCCACCCAUGGGCCUUGCCUUCAGGGGAGUUACAGCACAGCGACCUGCUACCCCCUGCAGCAGAACCAGUGGGGCUGAAGAUGUGCUCUGUGCUUCAGUGGGAGAGUCUGUGGCUCCGCAGCAGCAAUUGGCAGCGCCCUGGUUUGGAUCUCAAGCCAAGCCCAGAAACUCAGGUGCAGUUCACAAGGCUCAAGGCUCUGAAUGGGAAGGCUGACAAAUGAGAGAUUAAUAAAUGGAAGCACAGUGUGUGUGCUGGAGAGAUUUCUGCUAUGGUGGUUGUGCCUACCAGGCUUCCUACUGAACUUACUGCUAUUCAUCUUACAGACAUCUAGAAUUUCCCUCCCUGUUCUCAGCUUCACCUUGUACUCCCUUCUGCCUCCAGGCACGAGCUGCUCUUGUCCCUGCACAAGGGCCAUUCAUUCUCUGCUCCAUCAGGAGCGCUUCCCUCUGAGUUUGGGUUCAUCCCUCUCCUUAAAUCUGACCUUCACAUCUUCCUUCUCAUUGCAGGGCUCAGUAAGGUGCACUACAGAAAGAGCCACUGCACUUGCUGAAGCAGGAGGCUGCUAGCACUAGGGAAGGAAAACACAAACCUCAGAAAAUUAAUAGAAGCAUUUAAGAGUUGGAAUUUAACAAUGUGGGUCUGCAUCUACCUUUGGCCUGCCUCUGUGCUGUAGUUUCAUAGGACACAAGAGCGCCCUUUUGUUGACUGGAGCCAGUUACAAGUCUUCUAGCAUCCUCCAAAUCCAAGCAAGACGAGGCUGCCCAGACUUACAGACAGCUUGCAGCCCUGAUGUGUGCACAGCCUGAACUUGCAGACAGUGCCCUCUCAGGUCAGAAAGAGCAGAAAAGCUCAGCCACACAGCACCAGUGCAGCAUUUAGCUCCAAAGCUGACACAAAUACGUGGCCAAGUUUUCAAAAUAACUGAGCAGCUUCAGGGCUUCGUUACCUGCAAACACAUCAGCGGGAACUGCAGGACUCAGUUCUGAAAACCUGGGCUGGGAGAACUCAAAAAAUGGGCCAAAGGCUCCUCUGAAAAUAUCCUAAAUGACCAAACGAGAAAGAGCAACGGAUAGAAUGGCAGCACAAAACCAGAAGGUGCUAGCUGCAAUUGAAGACAAGAUUUUGUCCCCAGUUCACAGCAGCUCUGAGAUUUCUCUCAACCCACCAAAAAGAGAAAAGAGAAGUUCACAGAUAGUCAAAAUGUAAAAA